RNA transcript from Populus nigra (black poplar), 2778 nucleotides. RefSeq lists it as uncharacterized. The transcript has 4 exons. Lineage: Eukaryota; Viridiplantae; Streptophyta; Magnoliopsida; Malpighiales; Salicaceae. The record is from RefSeq and is a predicted model, not a curated record.
CUCACUACUCGUAACUGGUGAGCCUCUCAAUUGAUCAAAUACACUUAACUUCUGUAAUAAAAAAAGGCUUAAAACAAUAGUAAUAAGAGGCAAGUGAGACCAAAUUCUUUUUUCAUAAAUCGUGAAAGAUAUAGUGGACAUGGAGGGGAGAGAAGAAGAUGUGAGGGUGGGUGAUCAAAAUAGGUAUAGAGAGAGGCCACCCAUAGGAACAGCUGCUCAAACCCAAAAUGUCAACGACUAGACAGAGCCACCUCCAGCACCACUUCUUGAGCCUGGGAAUUGUCAUCAUGGUCAUUUUACAUGGCAGGCAUUGCCGAAUUUGUUGCCACUUUUUUGUUCCUUUACAUCAAAGUGCUAACUGUAAUGGGGGCGGAAAAACCCGCACCAAGUGUUCAACGGUUGGAAUUCAGGGCAUUGCUUGGUCUUUUGGUGGGAUGAUUUUUGCUCUUGUCUAUCGCACUGCUGGCAUUUCAGGUACUGCUUGCCACUUUUUUGUUCCUUUACAUCAAAGUGCUAACUGUAAUGGGGGCGGAAAAAUCCCGCACCAAGUAUUCAACGGUUGGAAUUCAGGGCAUUGCUUGGUCUUUUGGUGGGAUGAUUUUUGCUCUUGUCUAUCGCACUGCUGGCAUUUCAGCAGCAGAAACUACUUUUUCAAGGAGCGAGUAUGUGUCGGUAACAAGUGAAGACAAGGCACAGUUCAUUUUCCUCUCAAUCAAUGAGAAGACAGUGAAAUAAAUCUAACUACACCAGGACAAACAUCUGUCCCAAAAACAAUAGAUUUGGUAUGUAAUUUGAAUGGUUUAUAUGGUAAGUAUGCUUCUUCUUUUUCUUUUUCUUUUUUUAAUUUUCAAUACGUAAUUAUUAAUUUCAAUAAAAAGGAGGCAAAAUUAAUAAAUAAAUUAGGUUGAUUUAACAUAAGAGAAUAAGAUAAGUAAAAUUUAUUAAACCUUUUAACAAUAACUUAGAAUAUUUAAUUAUUUUUCUCUCUUAAAGCUUUCAUCACUUAAUAAAAAAAUUGCUUUUCAAUCAUAAUUCAAUUGACAUUAAGGAAUUAAUUAGGGGCUUUUGCUAAUUAAUUUAAUCUUUAUCGAUCUUCCUUGCUUAAAGAAAUUUAAGAAUUUUCUUGAAUUAAAAAAAAUAUUUAUUUUACUUCGAUGAUCAACCUAAUUCAUUGAAUGAACAAUUUCUUUGAAUUGAGCAUAUAAACAUUAAAUUAUCUUUUAUAUUUUAUUUUCAAAAGUUUAAUUUUCUUUAGUUUUCUUAUUAAUCCCCAAUUUUUAUUUCAAUUUAUUGUAAGAAGAAUUAGAAUAGUUUCCUUUGGGUUCGACCUGGCUUUUACUAUAGUGCUAUAAAAAAUCAAAUCUUUAAAAAGAGAAAAAAGUCAAAAUUAAUUUUGAUAGUUUCAAUAACAACCAAAAUACUGGUGGUAGUUUAAAUUUACUAUGUUUGGGUUUUGAAAGAAAGGUCAAGUGUUUGUAAGAGGUAUUUCAUCAAUGGAUAUGUUUUUCAUACUCAAUGAGUUUAUGUUAUAUGAUCAACUUCUAAAGAGUUUGAAGUUGAUUAUUUUUGAAAAUUAAAAGAGAUGAUUGAACUGUAAUAUCAUACUAAGUAAUAUAGAUAGGAGCGCUACUGGUUCUUCUAGCAAUGCUUCUAAGGACCAUGAGUUGCUAGGUGCCAAUUAUGAUCAGACACUUAAGUCAUAUGCACUCUUUCUCGACACAUGCUCAUUGAGUGCGGUGCCGCCUUGCAUAAAGAGUGUGUCUUAUAAGCAGGAUGUAUAUAAUGGAAAAUACAUUACUUAGUGGAAGCCCGACCACAAUAUGAAAGUUUUUUUUUCCCUUUCUUGCAUGAUUAAAAAAUAAACAACAAUAGAUAAUUUUUGAAUAAUUAAUUUUUAUGAUCGAAUGAAAUUUCAAGUUUAUAAAUAUGGAGGCUUUUCACACAAUAACAUCAAUGUUUAAAUCAUGAAUGAAAGUACCUUUGUUUCAGUGGAAUCAGAUUUUCAAAAAUCCUAAAUAGAAGUUUAUGAUUGAUGCUUGGUUUAGAAAAUUUAAGGUUAGUAUAUAUAUUAACAUUUUUUUUUAAUUUGAUCAGUUUUUUAAUUUUAAUGAACUAACUAUUUUAUAAAAUUGACGUGUAAGGAAAACUUUUAAUGGGAGGAGGUUGACAAUGUUAUUUGCUAGGAGGGUGUUGGAGAAUCACAACGCUAUUAGGCUACUUCUCUUGGACAUGAUCCAAGAUCAAUUGAGCUUUUUGUUGAAAUUCAUAUGCGAAAUAAGGACCGCUAAAAAGCAGUGCAGCGACUCAUUGAUAGCUGAGCUCAGAAGUUCAUGAGAUACAAAGACGAUCUUUCAAUCCAUUCAGAACUCGAUCCAGAUUUAUAGUUGGAGGCUAGAUCAUUCGGUAGACCCAAUAUAAAUUAGAUUUAUGGUAUCUCAAACACUACAAGUGAUGAUAUGCGGAUGAGCCAUAGUGUAUUGACCAUUGGUUCCUAGCAAUCAGGUUUGAUCACCUAAUCUCCGGCUGUCCAAGCGAUUGUACUACCCUGCUUAGUGUUGAGAUGACCCAACUUAGAUCCGAUACUACUUAACUUAGGUGAUCUUACAAGGAGCUAUUGUCAAACAUCAGUGGUUCAUGUGGUCUACCUUGUUGCCCACUUGGUCUUGAUGAAGAUCAGCCUCUGCCUCCUCCUCCUUCUAAUUUAGCUUCUGUCCCUUAAAAUAAUUGUAUUUAAUAAUAUUUUUAAAAUUUAUAAUAAAAAUGUGGUUUUGUAUUUUA